This 253-nucleotide ribosomal RNA is filed under the name uncultured bacterium. Its description in RNAcentral is "partial 16S ribosomal RNA". It matches the Rfam family "Bacterial small subunit ribosomal RNA", at positions 524 to 776 of the family's 1533-position model. The record is from RNAcentral.
UACGGGGGGGGCAAGCGUUGUUCGGAAUUACUGGGCGUAAAGGGCCAGUAGGCGGCCAACUAAGUCGGAUGUGAAAUCCCCAGGCUUAACCUGGGAACUGCAUCCGAUACUGGAUGGCUUGAAUUCGGGAGAGGGAUGUAGAAUUCCAGGUGUAGCGGUGAAAUGCGUAGAUAUCUGGAGGAAUACCGGUGGCGAAGGCGGCAUCCUGGACCAUAACUGACGCUGAGGCGCGAAAGCUAGGGGAGCAAACGGG